CUUACCGUAGUUGUUCAUUUAAACCCUGUGAGGUUACCUUACCUUACCGUAGUUGUUCAUUUAAACCCUGUGAGUUUACCUUACCGUAGUUGUUUAUUUAAACCCUGUGAGGUUACCUUACCGUAGUUGUUCAUUUAAACCCUGUGAGGUUACCUUACCGUAGUUGUUUAUUUAAACCCUGUGAGGUUACCUUACCGUAGUUGUUUAUUUAAACCCUGUGAGUUUACCUUACCGUAGUUGUUUAUUUAAACCCUGUGAGGUUACCUUACCUUACCGUAGUUGUUUAUUUAAACCCUGUGAGGUUACCUUACCGUAGUUGUUUAUUUAAACCCUGUGAGGUUACCUUACCUUAGUUGUUUAUUUAAACCCUGUGAGGUUACCUUACCUUAGUUGUUUAUUUAAACCCUGUGAGGUUACCUUACCUUACCGUAGUUGUUUAUUUAAACCCUGUGAGGUUACCUUAACCGUAGUUGUUUAUUUAAACCCUGUGAGGUUACCUUACCGUAGUUGUUUAUUUAAACCCUGUGAGGUUACCUUACCGUAGUUGUUUAUUUAAACCCUGUGAGGUUACCUUAACCGUAGUUGUUUAUUUAAACCCUGUGAGGUUACCUUACCGUAGUUGUUUAUUUAAACCCUGUGAGGUUACCUUACCGUAGUUGUUUAUUUAAACCCUGUGAGGUUACCUUACCGUAGUUGUUUAUUUAAACCCUGUGAGGUUACCUUACCUUACCGUAGUUGUUUAUUUAAACCCUGUGAGGUUACCUUACCGUAGUUGUUUAUUUAAACCCUGUGAGGUUACCUUAACCGUAGUUGUUUAUUUAAACCCUGUGAGGUUACCUUACCGUAGUUGUUUAUUUAAACCCUGUGAGGUUACCUUACCGUAGUUGUUUAUUUAAACCCUGUGAGUUUACCUUACCGUGAGGUUACCUUACCUUAGUUGUUUAUUUAAACCCUGUGAGGUUACCUUACCUUACCGUAGUUGUUUAUUUAAACCCUGUGAGGUUACCUUACCGUAGUUGUUUAUUUAAACCCUGUGAGGUUACCUUAACCGUAGUUGUUUAUUUAAACCCUGUGAGGUUACCUUACCGUAGUUGUUUAUUUAAACCCUGUGAGGUUACCUUACCGUAGUUGUUUAUUUAAACCCUGUGAGGUUACCUUACCGUAGUUGUUUAUUUAAACCCUGUGAGGUUACCUUACCUUACCGUAGUUGUUCAUUUAAACCCUGUGAGUUUACCUUACCGUGAGGUUACCUUACCGUAGUUGUUUAUUUAAACCCUGUGAGUUUACCUUACCGUAGUUGUUUAUUUAAACCCUGUGAGUUUACCUUACCGUGGUUGUUCAUUUAAACCCUGUGAGGUUACCUUACCGUGAGGUUACCUUACCGUAGUUGUUUAUUUAAACCCUGUGAGGUUACCUUACCUUACCGUAGUUGUUCAUUUAAACCCUGUGAGUUUACCUUACCGUAGUUGUUUAUUUAAACCCUGUGAGUUUACCUUACCUUACCGUAGUUGUUUAUUUAAACCCUGUGAGGUUACCUUACCGUAGUUGUUUAUUUAAACCCUGUGAGGUUACCUUACCUUACCGUAGUUGUUCAUUUAAACCCUGUGAGGUUACCUUACCGUGAGGUUACCUUACCGUAGUUGUUUAUUUAAACCCUUUGAGGUUACCUUACCGUAGUUGUUUAUUUAAACCCUUUGAGGUUACCUUACCGUAGUUGUUAAUUUAAACCCUGUGAGGUUACCUUACCGUGAGGUUACCUUACCGUAGUUGUUUAUUUAAACCCUGUGAGGUUACCAAGUGCCCUGCAUCUGGUCAUCAGAGAUAGAGAAGUACAUUGUGGUUGUUGGUUCCGUGGUUCAACCUGUUGUUGGGUCCGUGGUUCAACCUGUUGUUGGGUCCGUGGUUCAACCUGUUGUUGGGUCCGUGGUUCAACCUGUUGUUGGGUCCGUGGUUCAACCUGUUGUUGGGUCCGUGGUUCAACCUGUUGUUGGGUCCGUGGUUCAACCUGUUGUUGGGUCCGUGGUUCAACCUGUUGUUGGGUCCGUGGUUCAACCUGUUGUUGGGUCCGUGGUUCAACCUGUUGUUGGGUCCGUGGUUCAACCUGUUGUUGGGUCUUUGGUUCAACCUGUUGUUGGGUCCGUGGUUCAACCUGUUGUUGGGUCCGUGGUUCAACCUGUUGUUGGGUCCGUGGUUCAACCUGUUGUUGGGUCCGUGGUUCAACCUGUUGUUGGGUCCGUGGUUCAACCUGUUGUUGGGUCCGUGGUUCAACUUCUCUCCCUUUUUUAAAAAUGCUUAAUUUAAAAAAAAAAAAAUACAAGAAUU
Salvelinus namaycush (lake trout) is the source of this 2322-nucleotide long non-coding RNA. RefSeq lists it as uncharacterized. NCBI's taxonomy places the organism in Eukaryota, Metazoa, Chordata, Actinopteri, Salmoniformes, Salmonidae. The record is from RefSeq and is a predicted model, not a curated record. The transcript has 2 exons.